Molecule: ribosomal RNA, 465 nt
Filed under: uncultured bacterium
Lineage: Bacteria
Description: partial 16S ribosomal RNA
Rfam family: Bacterial small subunit ribosomal RNA
Source: RNAcentral
AUGAACGCUGGCGGCGUACUUAACACAUGCAAGUCGAACGAUGAAGCCCAGCUUGCUGGGUGGAUUAGUGGCGAACGGGUGAGCAACACGUGAGUAACCUGCCCUUAACUCUGGGAUAAGCCUGGGAAACUGGGUCUAAUACCGGAUAGGAGCGUCCACCGCAUGGUGGGUGUUGGAAAGAUUUAUCGGUUUUGGAUGGACUCGCGGCCUAUCAGCUUGUUGGUGAGGUAAUGGCUCACCAAGGCGACGACGGGUAGCCGGCCUGAGAGGGUGACCGGCCACACUGGGACUGAGACACGGCCCAGACUCCUACGGGAGGCAGCAGUGGGGAAUAUUGCACAAUGGGCGCAAGCCUGAUGCAGCGACGCCGCGUGAGGGAUGACGGCCUUCGGGUUGUAAACCUCUUUCAGUAGGGAAGAAGCGAAAGUGACGGUACCUGCAGAAGAAGCACCGGCUAACUACGUG